UACGUAGGGCGCAAGCGUUGUCCGGAAUUAUUGGGCGUAAAGAGCUCGUAGGCGGCUUGUCACGUCGGGUGUGAAAGCCCGGGGCUUAACCCCGGGUGUGCAUCCGAUACGGGCAGGCUAGAGUGUGGUAGGGGAGAUCGGAAUUCCUGGUGUAGCGGUGAAAUGCGCAGAUAUCAGGAGGAACACCGGUGGCGAAGGCGGUUCUCUGGGCAUUACCUGACGCUGAGGAGCGAAAGUGUGGGGAGCGAACAGG
Molecule: ribosomal RNA, 253 nt
Filed under: uncultured bacterium
Lineage: Bacteria
Description: partial 16S ribosomal RNA
Rfam family: Bacterial small subunit ribosomal RNA
Source: RNAcentral